This 379-nucleotide ribosomal RNA is filed under the name uncultured cyanobacterium. RNAcentral's name for it is "bacterial SSU rRNA". It matches the Rfam family "Bacterial small subunit ribosomal RNA", at positions 376 to 770 of the family's 1533-position model. The record is from RNAcentral. Lineage: Bacteria; Bacillati; Cyanobacteriota.
CGAAAGCCUGACGGAGCAACGCCGCGUGUGGGAAGAAGGCUCUUGGGCUGUCAACCACUUUUCUCAGGGAAGAAGUCCUGACGGUACCUGAGGAAUCAGCCUCGGCUAACUCCGUGCCAGCAGCCGCGGUAAGACGGAGGAUGCAAGCGUUAUCCGGAAUUAUUGGGCGUAAAGCGUCCGCAGGCGGCUAAUUAAGUCUGCUGUCAAAGCCCACAGCUCAACUGUGGAUCGGCGGUGGAAACUGGUUAGCUUGAGUGCGGUAGGGGUAGAGGGAAUUCCCGGUGUAGCGGUGAAAUGCGUAGAGAUUGGGAAGAACACCGGUGGCGAAAGCGCUCUACUGGGUCGCACCUGACCCUCAGGGACGAAAGCUAAGGUAGCG